UACGAAGGGGGCUAGCGUUGUUCGGAAUUACUGGGCGUAAAGCGCACGUAGGCGGUUUUUCAAGUCGGGGGUGAAAUCCCAGGGCUCAACCCUGGAACUGCCUUCGAUACUGGAUGACUAGAGUCCGUGAGAGGUUGGUGGAAUGCCGAGUGUAGAGGUGAAAUUCGUAGAUAUUCGGCGGAACACCAGUGGCGAAGGCGGCCAACUGGCACGGUACUGACGCUGAGGUGCGAAAGCGUGGGGAGCAAACAGG
Molecule: ribosomal RNA, 253 nt
Filed under: uncultured bacterium
Lineage: Bacteria
Description: partial 16S ribosomal RNA
Rfam family: Bacterial small subunit ribosomal RNA
Source: RNAcentral